AGGCGACCGACGCUGAAAGGGCCGCGGAGUCGCGUGUCAGGGCUGGAGGGAGAUCUUGAGAUCACUUCAAACUUAAGUGAGCUCAGGUUCAUCUGGAGGAUGACUCGGCCUCUGUGUGAGGAGGAUGGGCCAGAGAGUGACUUGCACAUCACUUAGUGAGAAGUGAAGUCAGGAUCUGAAUCCAGGCAGGCUGAUUCCAGCAUCAACAUCACCACUUAGAACUGGACCUCCCCUUCCCUCUGCCCUCCUCUGACUCAGCCACAUGCCAGAAGCACACGACGCUUGUCACAACACAGGACUUGCACUGCCUGAUUUGGAGUCUCUCGUCCCACCUGACGAGAAAUACCCACAGGUGUGGAGGGGCUGGCCCCCUUCACCUGGGUCUCGACUCCUGUUUUGUUCUACGGUUCCCAUUGCAGUGCUGUGAUCCCCCAGAAGCUCAGGAAAACAACUGACUUCCUGGUGUUGCCAACAGGCAGAGAGGAGAUGCAGCCAGUCCUUACCCUGUAGAAGAUGGGGAGGGAGUCCCAGGUGUACGGAUAAGCAAAGGCGAGGACACGAAUCACCUUACAGAGUCUGGGCUUCUGGAUUUCAAGAAACCUAAAUCAGGGAAGGAAAGUGGGGAGGAAAUGGAAUGAAAAGAGUAUCAGCAAAUUGCAUACGCACAUGCAUGCACACCGAGGGCCUGGUCAUCAACAGAGGACAAGCAUUUUUCUACAAGCUCCUGUGGCCAGCAGCUUCUCCACCAGCCUCGUCCAUUCCUCCCACCCCAAUGGAAGUGACAAAACUUCAGAUGCAAAAAGAUCUCCAGGGACACCAUCUCCUGACCAUGGGAAGCAGUGGUGUCCAGACUAAGCCAGAAAGGAGGCGCUGGGCAGAAACCCUUCAAGGGCCAAGUUAUGUAACUGCCAAAGAACCUUUUAAAACUCUAGUUGCUACAGGGACAGGGAACGGGUAGGGGGAAUCAGGGGAUCCACUGCCACAGACUCUUGGGGGGCACACUCUGCAAAGGCUGAGAUGCACCCAUCUAGUUGGAGCCCAGGUAUUAUCAUGCAGGAGACCUGGGUUCAAGUAGGUGUUUGACCCUUGGAGAGCUUUCUGGAAUAUUUAUACCACACACAGGGAUACUUGGCUUGGGAAAACUAAAUAAACGUGAGGUCUUUC
This is a long non-coding RNA of Pan troglodytes (chimpanzee), 1164 nucleotides long. RefSeq lists it as uncharacterized. The record is from RefSeq and is a predicted model, not a curated record. Lineage: Eukaryota; Metazoa; Chordata; Mammalia; Primates; Hominidae. The transcript has 4 exons.